RNAcentral lists this unclassified non-coding RNA (240 nucleotides) under soil metagenome. RNAcentral's name for it is "partial contains 5.8S ribosomal RNA, internal transcribed spacer 2, and large subunit ribosomal RNA". The record is from RNAcentral.
AACGCACGAGACCUGCGGACCUGCGGAAGGAUCAUUAAUGAGAAGCUGCCCCUCGUGGGUAGACCUCCCACCCUCUGUGAACUUACCUUUGUUGCUUUGGCAGGCCCGUCCUCUGGACCGCCGGCUUCGGCUGGCCCGUGCCUGCCAGAGGAUUCCAAACCCUGUCUGUCAGUGUAGUCUGAGUCUAUAUGAAAUCGUUAAAACUUUUAACAAUGGAUCUCUAGAUCGGAAGAGCACACG